Non-coding RNA from Pelobates cultripes (western spadefoot toad), 246 nucleotides. NCBI's taxonomy places the organism in Eukaryota, Metazoa, Chordata, Amphibia, Anura, Pelobatidae. The record is from the annotation of a GenBank genome assembly.
AGUUAAGAAAACCAAGAUGGAGUUGGCCUUUUAAUUGAUCAUUUUAAUGACAUGUGAUGCAGUUUGGAUCAUCAUUUACUGCCCUCUCCUAGCAGUUCCCUCACUUGCUGACUAUUGACCUAUCCAACACACUACUACAUUCCAUGCUUCCCCUCUGGCGAACUGCAUUGAGUAUCUUUGGUCAAAGUGCAUUGUUUUUGGAGAUGAAAUGGAGAAUGGUUGUAAACCCCAUAAACCUGAUCAAGG